This is a long non-coding RNA of Solanum dulcamara, 3142 nucleotides long. RefSeq lists it as uncharacterized. Lineage: Eukaryota; Viridiplantae; Streptophyta; Magnoliopsida; Solanales; Solanaceae. The transcript has 3 exons. The record is from RefSeq and is a predicted model, not a curated record.
CCCAACCCAUAAUCCGGUCGGAUGGGGUUAUAUAAUUAGUGGGAUAGGGUUUCCUAAACAAGGAUCCCUAUUUCUCUCUUGCUAUCUCUUCCUUGUCUUAAAUCUGCCGCUCCUUUCAUUUUCAUGUUUCCUCCUUGGCCAAAUCCAAGUCUCUGUUUGAUGCUUCUUUGGGUUAUCAACAAGCUUGGCUUGAUGACCAGUAUUCCUCUCUAUUUCAGCUACAAAGAGUUGGAUGACAGUGCUCAUCGUUUUUGCUGAAGGAUCUUCGACUAAAGGACUGCAGUUUCUCCUUCAGGUGGUCUUGGGUCUGAGUGCAUAGGUAGCUUAGAUCGGCCCCAUGAAAGUGAGAUGAAGCUCUUUUCAGGUUUACUCGCUCCACAAUGAAUCAAAAUCCUCCAUUUUGUCGAGUCCAUUUUUGUUGGUUGUAUUAGAAUAGGCUAGAUAGCAUCUCACCUUUUGUUGCUUUAAAACUUUGUGUAAAUAUUGUGAAUAUUGCUGAUGUGAAAAACUCAUGCUAUAGCCUUCCCUGCCCCUUAUUCUUUCAAUGGUGAUAGUCCUAAAUAUGGGCAUUUUAAUUUGUCACUGUUUAUAAUCCUCUUUCCCUCUAUAUCCAUGCUUUUAAAGUCUGUAUACGUGCAAUUACCUCUGUCUAUUACCCUGUUAGCUAUAUGAUCUGCUAGUUGAUUACCUUCUCUGAGUAUAUGCCAAAAUAUGUAUAUUCUAUCUUUCAAGCAUGCUUUGAUUUCAUCCAUCAUAUCUUCAAUUAUCCAUGGACAUGCCCAUUUGCCUUGUAGAACAUUACACAGUAGUAAUGAGUCGAUCUGUAUGAUAAUUUGAUUGUGUCUCACCUAUUUGGAAUGCUUGCAUGCUUCAAGAAUAGCUCUUGCCUAUGCUACUAUAUUUGUAGUAUUCCUAAAGAAAUGUGGAUCGGGUCGUACGUUCCUCGAUAUUAUUUUAAAUUAUGGAUCGGGCCGAACAUUCCUCGGUAUAUUUCACUAUGUGAUAAUGGCACCGAGUCCCAUAAAGGGACCGAGUGCGGUAUGUUAUGUACACUACUCUUUCACCGAGUCCAUCACUAAAGGGCCAGAUACUUACGUAGGCAUGCAUAUAAAAUAUAGGGAUACACUUGUGACCCCGAGCCCCAUAGUGGACCGAAUGUACUAUGAUGACAUAUACGAUAAGAUUAUGCCGUAUACGAUUAUAUAAUGCCGUAUGCAAUGACCUGAUGAAAUAAUAUACAUGAUGAAAUGGGAUGAGGCUAUGGUCAUAUGGUAAUAUGAUGAAAUAAUUAUGAUCUCGAGUUCCUUAGCGAGUCGGGUACAGUGUAUGAGGAUGUAUAUGACUAUGUGUCCUAAGGUGCAGGUACAUUAAUUUGUUAAUUAUUACACUUGUCCCUUGCAUCCUUAUUUCAGUUAUGGUCUUAGUUAUGAUGUGUUAUGUUUUACAUACUCAAUAUAUAUGUCGUACUGACCUCCAUUUCUUCGAAGGAGGGAGCUACAUUUAAUGCCCGCAGGUACAGGUACUUACUUUGGAGAUCCACCAGCUUAGGACUCCCACUCAGCUAUGUCGGAAGUGCUCCUUUAUUCCGGAGCCUGGAUUUUGGUGCUAAUCAUUUAAUGUAUAUAGUUGUUUAUUCAGGGAUACGACGGAGGCCCUGUCCCACCUUAUAUUUCUAUUUCUUUUUACUCUUAGAGGUCUGUAGAUAUGUAUGUGGGUUGUAUAUGUAUGUAUGAACAGUUGUGUCUAUAUGUUACGAUAGCCUCAUCGGCUUAUAUAUUGUCUUGCAUGUUGGCACACUAUUACUGAAAUAGGAGACAUAUUUACUUAUAGUUAGAAAGGGUACACGCGAGUGUCUAAUUUGAGCACCCGUCAGGUCCUAUAGGGUUGGGUCAUGACAGAAGUGGUAUCAGAGCGGUCCCUCCUCGGAAUGUAUAUAGACCGUGUAUUGUAGAGUCUUGUUUAUCAGUGUGUUGCGUGCCACAUCUAUAAAUAGGAGGCUACAGGACAUUUAGGAUGUUACCUUUCUUUCAUAUCUAAGAUCGUGCGAUAGAGCCUAGCCAUAGGACAUGAAUUCCCUUUUUAUAACCUUUGAUUUCAGCUGAGGAACGACAUCGAUAGAGGAACGCAAUUGAUGAUAUUGAGAGCUACACAGUAUAGGGGUAAGCAAAGAUAUGAAGGAGAUAUGUUGAGUAAGGUGUUGAGCUUGAAAUGUAAAGUUGAAAAUUUAAAGAAAAGUAGAUAAGGAAGUGUAACAAAUGCAAUUUGAGGUGGACACAUGAGGUAAGUCCAUUAUUUUCAUACGGUUAUUGAUAUUGAAAGCCCCGUGUGGCUGUGAUAGGCUAUGAUAUGCAUAUAUAUAUAUAUGUUGUCCCUAUGAGGUAUUGUUGGUAUUUCUUGAGUGAAGGUUUGGGAUAGUAAGGAAUAUAGAGGAAACUCUACCAAUUUUUUUUUGAAAUAGAAAGAGAAUGAGAUAUAAGGUGAUAGUAUAUCUUGAGAGAUUGUAUCCACGGUAAUGAUAAGAUCCGACUAAACUAGGAGUACAGUUGACUUUGGGAAAUAAGUAAAUUGCGGUAUGGGUGGUAAUUAGAAGGUCAAUACUGAUAUGGUGAGAAGAAUGGUGAUGGAUAUGAAUGUCUUAAGACUGUCUGUGAGGUAUUAAGGAUGAGAAUGACGAGGAAGGAUAAGGGGUUAAGUACGUUUGCUCCACCAGGUGGAAUUAGUCCAGAGUAAGGAUCGUAAAUAAAGGUUAAGAAAUAUUACCCUUCGGGAUUGACCAUGAGCAGAAUAUAGUGUGAAUAUAAAGAGAAUCAUCAUGGAAGUACGUAUGGCCUAGUAAUGAAGUAACUAAAGAAUGUGAUUGUGAGUAAGAUUGGGAGUCAGCAUCGAGUACACGAUAAGGAUGAAAGCUCAUGAAGAAGAAAGGGGUAUUGUGUAUAUGUACCUCCACCGUAGAAAAUAGUAAGACCUCUUAAGGAUGAGGGAGGUAGCUUUGCAAGACCAUUGAUGUGUCGCGAGUCCAUUAAGAGGAACAAGUGGUAUUCACUGGGAUGAAGAUAGUGUUAUAGCAAAUCUAGAAACACGUGUCAUCAGAGUAUAAGUGCACCGAAUGGAGAAUCGGACAUAAUUAUAAGCACUAGUGACG